AUGAAACACUCCUACGGGAGGCAGCAGUGGGGAAUUUUGGACAAUGGGCGAAAGCCUGAUCCAGCCAUGCCGCGUGAGUGAAGAAGGCCUUCGGGUUGUAAACCGCUUUUGUCAGGGAAGAAAAGUUCCGGGUUAAUACCCUGGGAUGCUGACGGUACCUGAAGAAUAAGCACCGGCUAACUACGUGCCAGCAGCCGCGGUAAUACGUAGGGUGCGAGCGUUAAUCGGAAUUACUGGGCGUAAAGCGUGCGCAGGCGGUUUCGUAAGACAGAUGUGAAAUCCCCGGGCUUAACCUGGGAACUGCGUUUGUGACUGCGAGACUUGAGUGCGGCAGAGGGGGGUGGAAUUCCACGUGUAGCAGUGAAAUGCGUAGAGAUGUGGAGGAACACCGAUGGCGAAGGCAGCCCCCUGGGUCGACACUGACGCUCAUGCACGAAAGCGUGGGGAGCAAACAGGAUUAGAAACCCUAGUAGUCCGAAGUUC
This 483-nucleotide ribosomal RNA is filed under the name uncultured bacterium. Its description in RNAcentral is "bacterial SSU rRNA". It matches the Rfam family "Bacterial small subunit ribosomal RNA", at positions 328 to 802 of the family's 1533-position model. The record is from RNAcentral.